Molecule: ribosomal RNA, 370 nt
Filed under: uncultured Bacteroides sp.
Lineage: Bacteria; Pseudomonadati; Bacteroidota; Bacteroidia; Bacteroidales; Bacteroidaceae
Description: bacterial SSU rRNA
Rfam family: Bacterial small subunit ribosomal RNA
Source: RNAcentral
AGAGUUUGAUCCUGGCUCAGGAUGAACGCUAGCUACAGGCUUAACACAUGCAAGUCGAGGGGCAUCGGGAAGAAAGCUUGCUUUCUUUGCUGGCGACCGGCGCACGGGUGAGUAACACGUAUCCAACCUGCCCUUUACUCGGGGAUAGCCUUUCGAAAGAAAGAUUAAUACCCGAUGGCAUAAUGAUUCCGCAUGGUUUCAUUAUUAAAGGAUUCCGGUAAAGGAUGGGGAUGCGUUCCAUUAGGUUGUUGGUGAGGUAACGGCUCACCAAGCCUUCGAUGGAUAGGGGUUCUGAGAGGAAGGUCCCCCACAUUGGAACUGAGACACGGUCCAAACUCCUACGGGAGGCAGCAGUGAGGAAUAUUGGUCA